RNAcentral lists this ribosomal RNA (443 nucleotides) under uncultured bacterium. RNAcentral describes it as "partial 16S ribosomal RNA". It matches the Rfam family "Bacterial small subunit ribosomal RNA", at positions 338 to 795 of the family's 1533-position model. The record is from RNAcentral.
CCUACGGGAGGCUGCAGUGGGGAAUAUUGGGCAAUGGGCGCAAGCCUGACCCAGCAACGCCGCGUGAAGGAAGAAGGCUUUCGGGUUGUAAACUUCUUUUCUCAGGGACGAAGCAAGUGACGGUACCUGAGGAAUAAGCCACGGCUAACUACGUGCCAGCAGCCGCGGUAAUACGUAGGUGGCAAGCGUUAUCCGGAUUUACUGGGUGUAAAGGGCGGGUAGGCGGGAAAGCAAGUCAGAUGUGAAAACCAUGGGCUCAACCUGUGGCCUGCAUUUGAAACUGUUUUUCUUGAGUACUGGAGAGGCAGACGGAAUUCCUAGUGUAGCGGUGAAAUGCGUAGAUAUUAGGAGGAACACCAGUGGCGAAGGCGGUCUGCUGGACAGCAACUGACGCUGAGGCGCGAAAGCGUGGGGAGUAAACAGGAUUAGAUACCCCAGUAGUC